AGUGAACGCUGGCGGCAGGCCUAACACAUGCAAGUCGAGCGGCAGCGGGUCCCCGCGAGGGGAUGCCGGCGAGCGGCGGACGGGUGAGGAACACAUCGGAAUCUGCCUGGUUGUGGGGGAUAACGUAGGGAAACUUACGCUAAUACCGCAUGCGACCCUGAGUCGACGGACUGGGGGUGAAAGUGAGGGACCUUCGGGCCUCACGCGACCAGAUGGGCCGAUGUCGGAUUAGCAGUUGGCGGGGUAACGGCCCGCCAAGGCGACGAUCCGUAGCUGGUCUGAGAGGAUGAUCAGCCACACUGGGACUGAGACACGGCCCAGACUCCUACGGGAGGCAGCAGUGGGGAAUCUUGGAC
RNAcentral lists this ribosomal RNA (356 nucleotides) under uncultured bacterium. RNAcentral's name for it is "bacterial SSU rRNA". It matches the Rfam family "Bacterial small subunit ribosomal RNA", at positions 30 to 369 of the family's 1533-position model. The record is from RNAcentral.